UACAUGUGGGGCAAGCGUUGUUCGGAAUUACUGGGCAUAAAGGGUGCGUAGGUGGUUUGUUAAGUCACUGGUGAAAGUUUGCGGCCCAACCGUAAAAUUGCCUGUGAUACUGGCGAACUUGAGUGCGUGAGGGAUGGGGGGAACGAGCAGUGUAGCGGUGAAAUGCGUAGAUAUUGCUCGGAAGGCCGGAGCCGAAGGGGCCCCAUUGGUACGUAACUGACGCUGAGGCACGAAAGCGUGGGGAGCGAACAGG
This 253-nucleotide ribosomal RNA is filed under the name uncultured bacterium. RNAcentral describes it as "partial 16S ribosomal RNA". It matches the Rfam family "Bacterial small subunit ribosomal RNA", at positions 524 to 776 of the family's 1533-position model. The record is from RNAcentral.